Molecule: long non-coding RNA, 1566 nt
Organism: Myotis davidii
Lineage: Eukaryota; Metazoa; Chordata; Mammalia; Chiroptera; Vespertilionidae
Exons: 2
Source: RefSeq, a predicted model, not a curated record
CGGUGGGCGUGCACGCGGCCCCCAGCAGCCUGCCCUACCUGCACAGCCCCAUCACCACCUCCCCCAGCUGCUAGGGCCGCGCGGGGAGCCCCCGAACCAGGGGCCUUCAGCGACAGCCGGGACUGCCCGGCCGGGGACAGGCCCCCAGGCCCCUGCCGUCACCUGUCCUCGGCCGGCCACCGGGCCGCCAGAUGGCAAUAAGGACUCUGCAGACCUGUUCACAGCCGGCAGAGCAGCCCUCCGACUUCCAGCAAUAACGCCGCCGCCGCCGGGCGGGGAAGACCGGGGCGUGGUGUGUGUGUCCCUGUGACGUGGCGGAUGGGAAUCUCUUACCUCAUUUUUCUAAGCAGUAAGGCUUGAAGCUCGGAAACCCACAGGUCCUGGCCAAUGUGCCCACGCAGUUUUACGCAAGGGCGGGGGAGGGGGGAGGCGGGACAAGAAGAAAACGAGUUGCCCGAAGUGCCUGGUUCUGUGUGCUUGGCCCUUUUUGUGGUUGAGGUUACAGGAACUUUCCUCUAAAGGAGUCUUCGAGGACCUGGCUUUCCCUUCUAAGUCACACACAGGUGGAUAAUUCUGCUUCAUAAUAAAUAAAAGUAUUUAUUAAGAGCUUCCGCGAGAAUCUAAGUACAGGGGGUCUAGCGCAGUGACUGAAGAAUAUGCUUUUGUGACGGCAUAGCGGCGGCUGACGUCACAGUGGGCACAAGAGGCGGCUGACGUCACAGCGGCCAGGAGGUCUGUGGCCCCCCGAGACGGGGCCAGGCUCCCAUCUGGUCCGCCCGGACUGGCGCUGAGGCAGGCAGGGCGCGGUGAAGGAGGAAGAAAGGGACUGCUUUGUAACAACUUUCCAAGCUGGUUCCUGGGCACGUGGACGCCGAAUGACUUCAAACCACAACAGCACAGCCUUUUCUCUCUGAUGCUCAAUAAUUCAGUUCGGCAGGUGGGAGCAUUUUUCUCAGCCACCUGCCUGAGGACUUGCAGACCAUCUGUGACAAAUGCCAUAUCCUAUCAGGUGCUCUAGACACGCUGGGUGCAGUUCAGCUUGUCCCGGGCCCUCGGGGAGACCAGCCAACUAGAGGCACACCGGAAACGAAUCCUUUUGUACAUGGAAAUACCACCGUUUCUCCUUUGCAUACAUACGCUGGAGAUUUUCAUGUUCGGGGGUUACUUGGCAUGAAGUGCAACCAAGUUUAAAUUCCUGGUUUAGGGGAAUGUCUUCAAUGGCCCGCUUUUGAAUAAAAAGGGGAGUGGACCCCGCGCUUCAGGUCUCCCUGAAGUCCAGGAUGGUAAAAGCGUGAGAGGGGAGUUGGGGUAGACACUUUGCUUAGGAGGUGGCUGUGGGCUCCUGUGAAGGGCACCACGGGCAUUUGGGUGCCGUGUUAGGGUCCUGUCUUGAGAUAUUGCCACGUGAAGGGGCCCCCCAAACAGAGGAGGGGCUUCUGGAGGGAGAAGGGGCUUUCUGUGGGUUGGGCUUGGGGGGAGGGAGAGGGAAAACAGCUACGUGUUACUUUGUAGUUCUGUGGAACAGUGUUGUUUCGGAGUGCCGGAUUAGAGGUCAUUGCAAACUUG